Molecule: ribosomal RNA, 469 nt
Filed under: uncultured bacterium
Lineage: Bacteria
Description: bacterial SSU rRNA
Rfam family: Bacterial small subunit ribosomal RNA
Source: RNAcentral
ACUCCGGUACGGAGGCAGCAGGAUUGGGGAAUAAUUGGCACAAUGGGCGCAAGCUGAUGCAGCCAUGCCGCGUGUGUGAAGAAGGCCUUCGGGUUGUAAAGCACUUUCAGUCGUGAGGAAGGUAGUGUAGUUAAUAGCUGCAUUAUUUGACGUUAGCGACAGAAGAAGCACCGGCUAACUCCGUGCCAGCAGCCGCGGUAAUACGGAGGGUGCGAGCGUUAAUCGGAAUUACUGGGCGUAAAGCGCAUGCAGGUGGUUUGUUAAGUCAGAUGUGAAAGCCCGGGGCUCAACCUCGGAAUUGCAUUUGAAACUGGCAGACUAGAGUACUGUAGAGGGGGGUAGAAUUUCAGGUGUAGCGGUGAAAUGCGUAGAGAUCUGAAGGAAUACCGGUGGCGAAGGCGGCCCCUGGACAGAUACUGACACUCAGAUGCGAAAGCGUGGGAGCAAACAGGAUUAGAUACCCUGGUAG